AUGAGUACUGAUCAGCCAUCCCGCGUGUGCGAUGAAGGCCUUCGGGUUGUAAAGCACUUUUGGCAGGAAAGAAACGUCAUGGGCUAAUACCCCGUGAAACUGACGGUACCUGCAGAAUAAGCACCGGCUAACUACGUGCCAGCAGCCGCGGUAAUACGUAGGGUGCAAGCGUUAAUCGGAAUUACUGGGCGUAAAGCGUGCGCAGGCGGUUCGGAAAGAAAGAUGUGAAAUCCCAGAGCUUAACUUUGGAACUGCAUUUUUAACUACCGAGCUAGAGUGUGUCAGAGGGAGGUGGAAUUCCGCGUGUAGCAGUGAAAUGCGUAGAUAUGCGGAGGAACACCGAUGGCGAAGGCAGCCUCCUGGGAUAACACUGACGCUCAUGCACGAAAGCGUGGGGAGCAAACAGGAUUAGAUACCCUGGUAGUCCACGCCCUAAACGAUGUCAACUAGCUGUUGGGGCCUUCGGGCCUUGGUAGCGCAGCUAACGCGUGAAGUUGACCGCCUGGGGAGUACGGUCGCAAGAUUAAAACUCAAAGGAAUUGACGGGGACCCGCACAAGCGGUGGAUGAUGUGGAUUAAUUCGAUGCAACGCGAAAAACCUUACCUACCCUUGACAUGUCUGGAAUUCCGAAGAGAUUUGGAAGUGCUCGCAAGAGAACUGAAGAAACGGACAGU
Molecule: ribosomal RNA, 675 nt
Filed under: Achromobacter sp.
Lineage: Bacteria; Pseudomonadati; Pseudomonadota; Betaproteobacteria; Burkholderiales; Alcaligenaceae
Description: bacterial SSU rRNA
Rfam family: Bacterial small subunit ribosomal RNA
Source: RNAcentral